Populus euphratica (Euphrates poplar) is the source of this 350-nucleotide long non-coding RNA. RefSeq lists it as uncharacterized. The record is from RefSeq and is a predicted model, not a curated record. The transcript has 2 exons. Lineage: Eukaryota; Viridiplantae; Streptophyta; Magnoliopsida; Malpighiales; Salicaceae.
UAUAUAUAUAUAGACAUAUGCAUGCAUGUAGUCUCUAUAGUUUUAAAUCCAUUUCUUUUUUAUUAUUUUCAAUUUAUUUAUCCAUCAAAUCAAUGGAAAUUCUCAUUUUCAGACACUUGAAAAGCGCACAAAAUAGAAAAAAUAAAAUAAAAAAUCAACAAAAUUGAAAAACCAAUGUAAAAACUUGAAGAAACUAAGAACUGCAACAUUCUUCUAUAUAUAAUUAAUUAAAUCCGUCAUUGCUGAGAAUUUCAUGCACUUGAUACAUAUUCAAGAAACUAAGAACAGCAACAUAUUUAUUUAAUUCGACUCAAACACUCAAACACAAACACAUACAUAAAUUUACACAC